AGAACGAACGCUGGCGGCAUGCCUAACACAUGCAAGUCGAACGAGACCGCUGACUUCGGUUGGCGCGUCUAGUGGCGCACGGGUGCGUAACGCGUGGGAAUCUGCCCUUGGGUACGGAAUAACAGCGAGAAAUUGCUGCUAAUACCGUAUAAAUGACUUCGGUACCAAAGAUUUAUCGCCCAGGGAUGAGCCCGCGUAGGAUUAG
Molecule: ribosomal RNA, 205 nt
Filed under: uncultured soil bacterium
Lineage: Bacteria
Description: partial 16S ribosomal RNA
Rfam family: Bacterial small subunit ribosomal RNA
Source: RNAcentral